UGCUGGUCCUUUUACAACGAUAUUUUGCCAACCCCGCCAGGUCUGGAAAGAAGCAACGGUAACAAAAGAUUCGGGUGAAAAGUAAACUAGCAAGA
RNAcentral lists this signal recognition particle RNA (95 nucleotides) under Gammaproteobacteria bacterium RBG_16_37_9. RNAcentral's name for it is "signal recognition particle sRNA small type". It matches the Rfam family "Bacterial small signal recognition particle RNA". From Rfam's summary of the family: The signal recognition particle (SRP) is a universally conserved ribonucleoprotein involved in the co-translational targeting of proteins to membranes. The record is from RNAcentral. RNAcentral also lists the same sequence under 1 other name. Lineage: Bacteria; Pseudomonadati; Pseudomonadota; Gammaproteobacteria.